Molecule: ribosomal RNA, 532 nt
Filed under: Eurycercus longirostris
Lineage: Eukaryota; Metazoa; Arthropoda; Branchiopoda; Diplostraca; Eurycercidae
Description: SSU rRNA
Rfam family: Eukaryotic small subunit ribosomal RNA
Source: RNAcentral
CCAGGCCCGGACACUGGAAGGAUUGACAGAUUGAGAGCUCUUUCUUGAUUCGGUGGGUGGUGGUGCAUGGCCGUUCUUAGUUGGUGGAGCGAUUUGUCUGGUUAAUUCCGAUAACGAACGAGACUCUAGCCUGCUAAAUAGGUGGUCGGUUUAUUUUGAAUUUGAAACUGGGGGUCGGAGUCGUCCGGGUCAAGGCGGUUGUGGGGGGCGGCCGGGUUCUAGUCUGUUUCGGUGUUCGGUUUUCGGGUUUGCGUUCGUCUCCUUUCGGGGGGGCGGGCGUGAGCUCGGGGUCGGAUGUCGGGGUGGGCACCUCGGUCGUUCCUUCGGUCGUCUCCGGGCGAAACUCUGGCUCUCGCGUCGACCACAUCUCUUCUUAGAGGGACAAGCGGCGUCCAGCCGCGUGACAGUGAGCAAUAACAGGUCUGUGAUGCCCUUAGAUGUCCUGGGCCGCACGCGCGCUACACUGAAGGAAUCAGCGUGUUUCACUCUCCCUGUCCGAAAGGACCGGGUAACCGCUGAACCUCCUUCGUGG